CAGCAGCCACGGGAAUACGUAGGUGGCAAGCGUUGUCCGGAAUUACUGGGCGUAAAGCGCACGCAGGCGGUUUGUUAAGUCAGAUGUGAAAUCCCCGAGCUUAACUUGGGAACUGCAUUUGAAACUGGCAAGCUAGAGUCUUGUAGAGGGGGGUAGAAUUCCCGGUGUAGCGGUGAAAUGCGUAGAGAUCGGGAGGAACAUCAGUGGCGAAGGCGGCCAUCUGGGACAACACUGACGCUGAAGCACGAAAGCGUGGGGAGCAAACAGGAUUAGAUACCCCGGUAGUCCCUGUCUCUUAUAC
Molecule: ribosomal RNA, 301 nt
Filed under: uncultured bacterium
Lineage: Bacteria
Description: partial 16S ribosomal RNA
Rfam family: Bacterial small subunit ribosomal RNA
Source: RNAcentral